UCUCUUGUGCAAUUUUUGCAUGGAAAAAUAUUUACUUUAUGAAAUGACCAAUUUUCCUUAUUGUCUUUUUAUUUUGAUUUCAUAUUGUCAUACUCAUAGAUUAUACAUCACUUAUUGCUUAUUAUCAAUCCUUGUAAUUUAAUUUCAUGAAAUUUUUGAAGUACCAACAAAUUAAUGGUUUUUCUCCCAACUAUUAUUACUCAAAACUUCUUUUGGGAAACGCACGGAUCUGCUUAUGUAUCAUUACUUUUGAGAAUUCUAAAGUAUUCGAUUAUGUCAUUUUAUCUAAAUUUAUUUUUGUUGUAUGCGUAGGACUGAUAUAUUGUGUUCUGUGUUUGUUGUGGAGAUAUGGUAGCAGAGUUUGUGUGGUGAGUUUGGCCAUAUCUAUUCACCAAUUUAUUUCACACGAGACUAUACCUUUAAAUUUACCAGUUGGAACGUCCUGCUACUUGGAUAAUAUGCGUUUAGAAAGAACAAAAAACUCUCAGAAGGUAUUUAAAGUGUGAGAAGAAGAUGCUAGAGGAUUUCAUCUAUUCUGUAUUGUGCUAUGUAUGUGUAAUAGGUACAAUAAUAUAUAAAUACAUCAAUAAAAGGAAAUAACAAACUAAAAAACAA
Non-coding RNA from Salvia hispanica, 615 nucleotides. The record is from RefSeq and is a predicted model, not a curated record. Lineage: Eukaryota; Viridiplantae; Streptophyta; Magnoliopsida; Lamiales; Lamiaceae.